Cheilinus undulatus (humphead wrasse) is the source of this 135-nucleotide small nucleolar RNA. RefSeq annotates it as small nucleolar RNA SNORA3/SNORA45 family. The record is from RefSeq and is a predicted model, not a curated record. The transcript has a single exon. NCBI's taxonomy places the organism in Eukaryota, Metazoa, Chordata, Actinopteri, Labriformes, Labridae.
AGCGAGGCUAGAGUCAGGGCCUGGACACUGACCCCUUGUCCAGGUGUUCUCAAGUCCUUGCAGAGCAAAAUGUCUGUGCUUUUUCAUUGGCUGUAGUCUGUUGUGACUUAGUCAAUCAGCAGCUCAGACACACUC